Molecule: ribosomal RNA, 1400 nt
Filed under: uncultured bacterium
Lineage: Bacteria
Description: partial 16S ribosomal RNA
Rfam family: Bacterial small subunit ribosomal RNA
Source: RNAcentral
AGAGUUUGAUCCUGGCUCAGGACGAACGCUGGCGGCAUGCCUAACACAUGCAAGUCGAACGGAGUUUAGUUUUAGAUCCCUUCGGGGUGACGAAGCGAAGACUUAGUGGCGGACGGGUGAGUAACGCGUGAGGAACCUGCCUUUCAGAGGGGGACAACGUUUGGAAACGAACGCUAAUACCGCAUAACAUGGUUAAGUGGCAUCACUUGAUCAUCAAAGGAGCAAUCCGCUGAAAGAUGGCCUCGCGUCCGAUUAGCUAGAUGGCGGAGUAACGGCCCACCAUGGCGACGAUCGGUAGCCGGACUGAGAGGUUGAACGGCCACAUUGGGACUGAGACACGGCCCAGACUCCUACGGGAGGCAGCAGUGGGGGAUAUUGCACAAUGGGCGAAAGCCUGAUGCAGCAAUGCCGCGUGAGGGAAGAAGGUUUUCGGAUUGUAAACCUCUGUCCCUGAUGACGAAGACAGUGACGGUAAUCAGGGAGGAAGCCACGGCUAACUACGUGCCAGCAGCCGCGGUAAUACGUAGGUGGCAAGCGUUGUCCGGAAUUACUGGGUUUAAAGGGAGCGUAGGCCGUGCUUUAAGAGUGUUGUGAAAUGUAGGCGCCCAACGUCUGCACUGCAGCGCGAACUGGAGCACUUGAGUACGCAGGAAGUAGGCGGAAUUCGUCGUGUAGCGGUGAAAUGCUUAGAUAUGACGAAGAACUCCGAUUGGGAAGCCAGCUUACUGUAGCGCCACUGACGCUGAUGCUCGAAAGCGUGGGUAUCGAACAGGAUUAGAUACCCUGGUAGUCCACGCGGUAAACGAUGGAUGCUCGCUGUAUGCCUAUUAGGUUUAGUGGACCAAGGAAACACUUUUAGCUUCACCUACUGGGGAGUACGCCGUCAACGGUAGAAACUCAAAAGGAAAUUGACGGGGGGCCCCCCCAAGCGGAGGGACAAUGUGGUUUAAAUUCGAAUGAUACGCGAGGAACCUACUCCGGGCUUGAAAUUGAGCAGGACGCAUCCAGAGAUAGAUGUUUGUUCGGUCCUGCUUGGAGGUGCUGCAUGGUUGUCGUCAGCUCGUGCCGUGAGGUGUCGGCUUAAGUGCCAUAACGAGCGCAACCCUCGUCGCUAGUUGCCAUCAGGUGAUGCUGGGCACUCUGGCGAUACUGCCAUCGCAAGGUGUGAGGAAGGUGGGGAUGACGUCAAAUCAGCACGGCCCUUACGUCCGGGGCUACACACGUGUUACAAUGGCGCAUACAGAGAGUCGGUUCUGGGCAAUCAGGAUCCAAUCAUGAAAAUGCGUCGUAGUUCGGAAUGGGGUCUGCAACCCGACCCCAUGAAGCUGGAUUCGCUAGUAAUCGCGCAUCAGCCAUGCCGCGGUGACUAAAAGGCCGGGUCUUGCACACACCGCCCGUCA